GACGAACGCUGGCGGCGUGCUUAACACAUGCAAGUCGAACGGUGAAGCGAGUGCUUGCACUCGUGGAUCAGUGGCGAACGGGUGAGUAACACGUGAGUAACCUGCCCAUCACUCUGGGAUAAGCACUGGAAACGGUGUCUAAUACUGGAUACGACCAACCCUUGCAUGGGGUGUUGGUGGAAAGAUUUAUCGGUGAUGGAUGGACUCGCGGCCUAUCAGCUUGUUGGCGGGGUAAUGGCCCACCAAGGCGACGACGGGUAGCCGGCCUGAGAGGGUGACCGGCCACACUGGGACUGAGACACGGCCCAGACUCCUACGGGAGGCGGCAGUGGGGAAUAUUGCACAAUGGGCGAAAGCCUGAUGCAGCGACGCCGCGUGAGGGAUGACGGCCUUCGGGUUGUAAACCUCUUUCAGCAGGGAAGAAGCGAAAGUGACGGUACCUGCAGAAGAAGCACCGGCUAACUACGUG
Molecule: ribosomal RNA, 469 nt
Filed under: uncultured bacterium
Lineage: Bacteria
Description: partial 16S ribosomal RNA
Rfam family: Bacterial small subunit ribosomal RNA
Source: RNAcentral